This 497-nucleotide ribosomal RNA is filed under the name uncultured bacterium. Its description in RNAcentral is "partial 16S ribosomal RNA". It matches the Rfam family "Bacterial small subunit ribosomal RNA", at positions 28 to 507 of the family's 1533-position model. The record is from RNAcentral.
GACGAACGCUGGCGGCGUGCCUAAUACAUGCAAGUAGAACGCUGAAGAGAGGAGCUUACUCUUCUUGGAUGAGUUGCGAACGGGUGAGUAACGCGUAGGUAACCUGCCUUGUAGCGGGGGAUAACUAUUGGAAACGAUAGCUAAUACCGCAUAACAAUGGAUGACACAUGUCAUUUAUUUGAAAGGGGCAAUUGCUCCACUACAAGAUGGACCUGCGUUGUAUUAGCUAGUAGGUGAGGUAAUGGCUCACCUAGGCGACGAUACAUAGCCGACCUGAGAGGGUGAUCGGCCACACUGGGACAGGGACACGGCCCAGAAUCCUACGGGAGGCAGCAGUAGGGAAUCUUCGGCAAUGGGGGCAACCCUGACCGAGCAACGCCGCGUGAGUGAAGAAGGUUUUCGGAUCGUAAAGCUCUGUUGUAAGUCAAGAACGGGUGUGAGAGUGGAAAGUUCACACUGUGACGGUAGCUUACCAGAAAGAGACGGCUAACUACGUG